AAUAGAUACCCGGGUAGUCCAUGCCGUAAACGUUGGGCACUAGGUGUGGGGGCCAUUCCACGGUUUCCGCGCCGCAGCUAACGCGUUAAGUGCCCCGCCUGGGGAGUACGGCCGCAAGGCUAAAACUCAAAGGAAUUGACGGGGGCCCGCACAAGCGGCGGAGCAUGCGGAUUAAUUCGAUGCAACGCGAAGAACCUUACCAAGGCUUGACAUGUGCCGGACCGUCCCAGAGAUGGGGCUUCCCUUCGGGGCCGGUUCACAGGUGGUGCAUGGUUGUCGUCAGCUCGUGUCGUGAGAUGUUGGGUUAAGUCCCGCAACGAGCGCAACCCUCGUUCCAUGUUGCCAGCACUUCGGGUGGGGACUCAUGGGAGACUGCCGGGGUCAACGUCGGAGGAAGGUGGGGACGACGUCAAAUCAUCAUGCCCCGUUAUGUCUUGGGCUUCACGCAUGCUACAAUGGCCGGUACAAAGGGUUGCGAUACUGUGAGGUGGAGCCAAUCCCAGAAAGCCGGUCUCAGUUCGGAUUGGGGUCUGCAACUCGGCCCCA
RNAcentral lists this ribosomal RNA (546 nucleotides) under uncultured bacterium. Its description in RNAcentral is "bacterial SSU rRNA". It matches the Rfam family "Bacterial small subunit ribosomal RNA", at positions 777 to 1320 of the family's 1533-position model. The record is from RNAcentral.